CGAGAAAGAAAGGGGAUCGAGUAAAGUAUGAGGACUACUCGUGUGCAAAUAGGAUAAGAUGUAAGAUGAGCAGUGUGAUGGGACGUGUGUCAACCAUCUAGGCGGCUUACGGAGAUGAGAAACCAUCUGGUGAAUUUUAAACUUUUUUCAUAGAAAUUUGGCGUUUGUUGGCGCUUACUUGUGUUAAAAAAAGAAAAAG
RNAcentral lists this long non-coding RNA (199 nucleotides) under Hordeum vulgare. Its description in RNAcentral is "long non-coding RNA (HVUL_LNC013031)". The record is from RNAcentral. Lineage: Eukaryota; Viridiplantae; Streptophyta; Magnoliopsida; Poales; Poaceae.